AACGCAUAUGGCACCCGAGACUUCGGUCGAGGGUAUGUCUGUCUCAGAGUCGGCGUAAAAACAUCCCCAAAGGACAUAGCUCCGGCGGGGGAGCUGGCCUUCCCGGACCCCUCUCGCGGGCUCGGGUCGGCUGAAGGGCAGAGACGGGGGACCGCACGCGCGGACAGCCACGAUUUUGGUGGGAGGACCCAGCGUCCGCAUCAUCGAUCGAGGGCCGUCCUGUCAAAAGCGUCGGGAAAAAGCCCCCGCCCUUGCAGGAAAACAUUACUCAUAGUUCCGACCUGAGAUCAGGCAAGAUCACCCGCUGAACUUAA
This 314-nucleotide unclassified non-coding RNA is filed under the name uncultured fungus. RNAcentral's name for it is "partial contains 5.8S ribosomal RNA, internal transcribed spacer 2, and large subunit ribosomal RNA". Lineage: Eukaryota; Fungi. The record is from RNAcentral.